This 250-nucleotide long non-coding RNA is filed under the name Malus domestica (apple). RNAcentral describes it as "long non-coding RNA (MDOM_LNC013002)". Lineage: Eukaryota; Viridiplantae; Streptophyta; Magnoliopsida; Rosales; Rosaceae. The record is from RNAcentral.
CCGAGGGCAUUCUCACCACAUUUUUUCAUAGAUUUGACAUUUCCCAACUCAAAUCUCGCGCCCGGAGUCUACUACACUUCCACUACUCAAGGAGAAACAUUCCUUCCAAGCUCUUCUAACCCAAAUGGAGAACAACACUUGUCUCGACAUGUCAUAGAGUUGACGAGCGCCCUCGCACAGCAGACGACCUUGGUGAACCAGCUCUUAUAGCACACCGAGAUGUAAUGUGCCCCAGAUAAGGUGUCCCGAA